AGAGUUUGAUCCUGGCUCAGAACGAACGCUGGCGGCGUGGAUUAGGCAUGCAAGUCGAGCGAGAAAAGGGGGGCAACUCCCUGAGUAAAGCGGCAAACUGGUGAGUAACAGGUGGGCAACGUACCCCGGCGUGGGGGAUAACUUCGAGAAAUCGAGGCUAAUACCGCAUGCGGUCGUCAUGGCUUUGGCCGAGACGAUCAAAGACUUCGGUCGCGUUGGGAUCGGCCCGUCCCCGAUUAGCUAGUUGGUGAGGUAACGGCUCACCAAGGCGACGAUCGGUAGCUGGUCUGAGAGGAUGGUCAGCCACACUGGAACUGAGAUACGGUCCAGACUCCUACGGGGGGCAGCAGUCUAGAGGCUUCGGCAAUGGGGGAAACCCUGACCGAGCUACGCCGCGUGCGGGAUGAAGGCGUUUUCGUCGUAAACCGCUGUGUAAGGGGAAGAAUGCCCGAAUGGUGAAUUCGGGGGGGACGGUACUCUUGCAGAAAGCCCCGGCUAACUCUGUGCCAGCAGCCGCGGUAAUACAGAGGGGGCAAGCGUUGUUCGGAUUUACUGGGCGUAAAGGGAGUGUAGGCGGCCGUCAAGUCCGGUGUGAAAUCCUUACCACUCAACGGAAGGGGGUCACUGGAAACUGGUCGGCUAGAGUAAGGUAGAGGCAAGCGGAAUUCCUGGUGUAGCGGUGGAAUGUGUAGAUAUCAGGAAGAACAUCUGUGGCGAAGGCGGUUUGCUGGGCCUUUACUGACGCUGAGACUCGAAAGCGUGGGGAGCAAACGGGAUUAGAUACCCCGGUAGUCCACGCUGUAAACGGUGAGCGCUAGGUGUGGGGGGUAUCGACCCCUCCCGUGCCUGAGCAAACGCAAUAAGCGCUCCGCCUGGGGAGUACGGCCGCAAGGUUGAAACUCAAAGGAAUUGACGGGGGCCCGCACAAGCGGUGGAGGAUGUGGUUUAAUUCGACGACUACGCGAAGAACCUUACCUAGGCUUGAACAGCCGGGUAAACCCCUGGAAACAGGGACUGGUAGCAAUACCGACCCGGUAGAGGUGCUGCAUGGCUGUCGUCAGCUCGUGUCGUGAGAUGUUGGGUUAAGUCCCGCAACGAGCGCAACCCUUGUCGUCUGUUACCAGCGGGUAAUGCCGGGGACUCAGGCGAGACUGCCGGUGGUAAACCGGAGGAAGGUGGGGAUGACGUCAAGUCCUCAUGGCCCUUACGUCUAGGGCUACACACGUCCUACAAUGGCCGAGACAAUGGGAUGCAAGACCGCGAGGUGGAGCCAAUCUCUGAAACUCGGUCUCAGUUCGGAUUGCAGUCUGCAACUCGACUGCAUGAAGUUGGAAUCGCUAGUAAUCGCGGAUCAGCACGCCGCGGUGAAUACGUUCCCGGGCCUUGUACACACCGCCCGUCACACCACGAAAGUUGGUUGUUCCAGAAAUCGCUGUCGGAACCGCAAGGACCAAGGCGCUGAAGGAAUGGCCAGUAAUUGGGGUGAAGUCGUAACAAGGUA
This 1501-nucleotide ribosomal RNA is filed under the name metagenome. RNAcentral's name for it is "bacterial SSU rRNA". It matches the Rfam family "Bacterial small subunit ribosomal RNA". The record is from RNAcentral.